UUUAAGCAUGUAGGCUGGUUAUCCAGGCAAAUCCGGAUAAUCAAGGCUGAGGUGUGAUGACGAGGCACUACGGUGCUGAAGUAACAAAUGCCCUGCUUCCAGGAAAAGCCUCUAAGCAUCAGGUAACAUCAAAUCGUACCCCAAACCGACACAGGUGGUCAGGUAGAGAAUACCAAGGCGCUUGAGAGAACUCGGGUGAAGGAACUAGGCAAAAUGGUGCCGUAACUUCGGGAGAAGGCACGCUGGUGUGUAGGUGAAGCCCCUGCGGGUGGAGCUGAGACCAGUCGAA
This 289-nucleotide ribosomal RNA is filed under the name Klebsiella pneumoniae. Its description in RNAcentral is "partial 23S ribosomal RNA". It matches the Rfam family "Bacterial large subunit ribosomal RNA", at positions 1511 to 1784 of the family's 2925-position model. The record is from RNAcentral. Lineage: Bacteria; Pseudomonadati; Pseudomonadota; Gammaproteobacteria; Enterobacterales; Enterobacteriaceae.